Molecule: long non-coding RNA, 1582 nt
Organism: Manis javanica (Malayan pangolin)
Lineage: Eukaryota; Metazoa; Chordata; Mammalia; Pholidota; Manidae
Source: RefSeq, a predicted model, not a curated record
GGCAGCGGGAACUGUGCGUUGGCUGUUCCUCGCAGUAUUUAGAAAGUCUACAGGUGAGAACUGCAAGAGACACAAGAAACGGCAGCACGAGAACACGACCUGUGCAGUGCCGUAGAGUUCUGAAGAACGAAAUGGCAUUGAUAUGAGAGGGGGCAGCAUGAGAAUGUGAGCUGCAGGGUGCAGUGUAGUAGGUAAAAGAUUCUUUGCGGAAUGAGACAGCAGUGCUGCCAGGUGCUCUGAAGAAGGCAAAUGUCAUGAAGGAGGAGGAGGGACUUCCGAGAGAAGCACAGAAGAGGCGGUACAAGAAUGCCGGCUGCGCAGCAUUGAGGUGAAGGUAAGACAGCUGCUGAAGACUGAGCCGGCAUUGCUGUGAGGCACUGUGGAAACGUAACGCUGCCUGUCAAUUAUUACCAGUCUCAUGAGGUAUGGGAAACAACGAAGCAAGACCCGAUCAUUGCAAAUUACUCAGAACCCUAAUACAUCGGCAAGCACGAGAAGCGCUCAGGUGACUGGGCUUGUCCGCCCUUUUGCACAUCGUCACGAUGACCUGUACGCCCAGGCUGGCCUGUUGGAGGACGCCUGGCACUUCAGCCACGGCUAGACAACAGCCCGCUGUCCCCUUUGGCAUAUGGAUGAACCUGGUCAAGGUCAGGAUCACCAGCCACGCCCAGCCUGAUCUGCCAGCCCACAGACUCAUGAGCUGAAUACAGUUUUUCUUGAAAUUUAUUCUUCAGUCUUAUAUAACACCUUUGUUGUAGGAACAAUACUAACCAUUGAUAUUAUUAGGAUAAAUGAGACAAGGUCACAGCGCUCAGGAAACUCAUGGAUCAGUGAUGGAGACAGAUGCAUGGAUAUAAAUUAAAAUUCAAACGUGAGAAUAAUGAGAUAUUACAAAAGAGGGCUUUGAAAGCUGUAAACUUCCUUAUAAAUAUUAAGUAACUGAUGACUCCACACUGGCAGACAUGAUCUCCCUCUUUCUUCAGCCGUCUGUUAAAAAAAGGCUUUUUUUAAGCCCACCAAGUGUUUUGGGGUGGUUUACUAAUCGGUAUUACUAUGGCGACAGAUCACUGAUACAUUAUAGACAAAUAUCCAUUGCAACACAUAAAAUAGUAACAAAGAUGUAUAUUUUUAAAACUCUAACCCUCACACCAUCCUCUAUCUUAACCUUCCACCUAUAAAUCCUUGCUCAGAAUUAUGUAAGCGUGUACUCACAUAUAUAGGCUAAUUUUUGUGGGUUUGUGUUUAACAAAAUAAAACCAAUUUUGCAAUUUGCUUUUAACAUUUAGCAAUUUAUAAUGGACAUCUUUCUGGUCAGUAGAUAACAAUUUACAUUUUUUCUAAUUUCUUACACGCACACAUGCAUACGGUAACUAUAUAUAAGUUGUCUGCCAUGAAAUUCAAGGUUUCAGUGGUGCCGCUUCUUCUUGCCUUCUUCCCCACAUCACCUGCUUCACCGUCUCCCCGACAUACAGACACGCACACGCACGCACCGCACACCAUCAGACGUGGUAUGCCUCUCCUUUCCUUUGUGCUUAUAUAAUUAUACACAAAUAAACAUUUUAUUGUUUGUUUUAUUUUAAAA